This is an RNA transcript of Arabidopsis thaliana (thale cress), 272 nucleotides long. RefSeq lists it as uncharacterized. The transcript is spliced from 2 exons. NCBI's taxonomy places the organism in Eukaryota, Viridiplantae, Streptophyta, Magnoliopsida, Brassicales, Brassicaceae. The record is from RefSeq.
AUAUCUUUUUUUUUGUCAAGUUCCAUCCAAAGUUAUGAGCGAACCAUGUCGUCUCAAUCUUCUCUGCAGCUGCAGUCAUCGUAACGUUUCAGAGACCAUAUUGUAUUGAUACUUUCUACACAAAUCUCUAAAACAUUCAUGAUUCUCUGGAAGCUUAUUGUUAUCUACUCUGUCUCAUACCGUACGAUUAUUGUUAUUGUUCUGUUUUAGAUAAAUUAACGGGCGAACUCUAACUUUGAUAUUUGGUAGGAGGGAAGAGGAUUCAAGGAAAA